UGCCAGCAGCCGCGGUAAUACUGAAGGUGCAAGCGUUAAUCGGAAUUACUGGGCGUAAAGCGCGCGUAGGUGGUUCAGUAAGAUGGAAGUGAAAUCCCCGGGCUUAACCUGGGAACUGCUUUCAUAACUGCUGAGCUAGAGUACGGUAGAGGGUAGUGGAAUUUCCUGUGUAGCGGUGAAAUGCGUAGAUAUAGGAAGGAACACCAGUGGCGAAGGCGACUACCUGGACUGAUACUGACACUGAAUUACGAAGGCGUAGGUAGCGAACAGGAUUAGAUA
Molecule: ribosomal RNA, 279 nt
Filed under: uncultured bacterium
Lineage: Bacteria
Description: partial 16S ribosomal RNA
Rfam family: Bacterial small subunit ribosomal RNA
Source: RNAcentral